This 635-nucleotide ribosomal RNA is filed under the name Praeacanthonchus sp. CF5F04. RNAcentral's name for it is "SSU rRNA". It matches the Rfam family "Eukaryotic small subunit ribosomal RNA", at positions 93 to 732 of the family's 1831-position model. The record is from RNAcentral. Lineage: Eukaryota; Metazoa; Nematoda; Chromadorea; Chromadorida; Cyatholaimidae.
AAUGCUCAUUACAACAGCCAUAGUUUAUUGGAUCUUCUCUCUACUUGGAUACCUGUGGUAAUUCUAGAGCUAAUACACGCACGAAAGCCNCGACUUCGGGAGGGGCGCAUUUAUUAGAACAAAACCAAUCGGGCUUGCCCGUCNUUUGGUGAAUCUGAAUAACUCAGUUGAUCGCACAGUCCUCGAACUGGCGACGUAUCUUUCAAGUGUCUGCCUUAUCAACUUUCGAUGGUAGUUUACAUGACUACCAUGGUUGUAACGGGUAACGGAGAAUAAGGGUUCGACUCCGGAGAGGGAGCCUGAGAAACGGCUACCACAUCCAAGGAAGGCAGCAGGCGCGCAAAUUACCCACUCUCAGUACGAGGAGGUAGUGACGAAAAAUAACGAGACGGUUCUCUAUGAGGUCCGUCAUCGGAAUGGGUACAAUUUAAACCCUUUAACGAGGAUCUAUUGGAGGGCAAGUCUGGUGCCAGCAGCCGCGGUAAUUCCAGCUCCAAUAGCGUAUACUAAAGUUGUUGCGGUUAAAAAGCUCGUAGUUGGAUCUGCGGUCUCGCGUGCCGGUGAAUCCUCAGGAUUUUACUGGUUUCGCAGGCCUACCUCGCUGGUUUUCCCUUGGUCCUCUUUACUGAGUGCCC